AGUGAACGCUGGCGGUAGGCCUAACACAUGCAAGUCGAACGGCAGCACAGUAAGAGCUUGCUCUUACGGGUGGCGAGUGGCGGACGGGUGAGGAAUACAUCGGAAUCUACUUUUUCGUGGGGGAUAACGUAGGGAAACUUACGCUAAUACCGCAUACGACCUACGGGUGAAAGCAGGGGAUCUUCGGACCUUGCGCGAUUGAAUGAGCCGAUGUCGGAUUAGCUAGUUGGCGGGGUAAAGGCCCACCAAGGCGACGAUCCGUAGCUGGUCUGAGAGGAUGAUCAGCCAAACUGGAACUGAGACACGGUCCAGACUCCUACGGGAGGCAGCAGUGGGGAAUAUUGGACAAUGGGCGCAAGACUGAUCCAGCCAUACCGCGUGAGUGAAAAAGGCCUUCGGGUUGUAAAGCCCUUUUGUUGGGAAAGAAAAGCAGCAGGUUAAUACCCCGCUGUUCUGACGGUACCCAAAGAAUAAGCACCGGCUAACUUCGUG
This 492-nucleotide ribosomal RNA is filed under the name uncultured bacterium. RNAcentral describes it as "partial 16S ribosomal RNA". It matches the Rfam family "Bacterial small subunit ribosomal RNA", at positions 29 to 507 of the family's 1533-position model. The record is from RNAcentral.